Long non-coding RNA from Oreochromis aureus, 2627 nucleotides. NCBI's taxonomy places the organism in Eukaryota, Metazoa, Chordata, Actinopteri, Cichliformes, Cichlidae. The record is from Ensembl.
GGAGUAUGUAAAAGCUAAAGACAAAUCUUCAACUGAAGAAGUGGCAAAGAAGACUAACAAAAAAAGACAUGAAAGAGAACGAUAUGCCUGCUGUCGUGAAUUUCGAAUGAAAAGAUUACAGACUAUGAAAAUUCAAUAUGCUGAAAACUGUCAUUACCGUAAACAAAGACUAUUAUCAGCCAAAAAUUAUUAUGCAAAUCCUCAUAUUCAAGAAAAAGUAAAAGCCCACAAGGUGAAGAGAUACCAAAGUGAUCAUCAUUUUCAACGAAAAAUGAGAAACUACAUUAUCAGAAGAUAUACCACAGAUCCUGACUAUCAAACCAGACAGAAGCAAUAUGUGGUCCAGAGGUACAACACGGAUGCCAGCUUUCAAACCAGACAGAAGCAAUAUAUGGUCCAGAGGUACAACACGGAUGCCAGCUUUCAAACCAGACAGAAACAAUAUAUGGACCAGAAAUACAAAGAGGAUCAUGUCAGAGAAAGGAAGAAGGCAUACAUAAGAACAAAAUAUGCAUCGGAUCCAAACUACAGGCACAAACAAAAAAAUCAAUUCAUGCCAGGUACCACAAUGACUCACAAUUCAGACUGCACCAUAUACAGCGCUGUGCCCAGUACCAGAGACACAAAAUGGCCACCACUGCAUCUUUCGCCAUUUAUAAAAGUUGUGUGCACAGAGAAUAAAGAAGAAAUACAGACGACUAGUAACACAAUUCCAGCAGGGUCCACAGUCUGAAGCACAGCCCCAACUUGUAGUGAAUAGUGUGAUGCAAGCAGCCACAUUAGCUUUCCGUGAAACAAUUAAGUUAGGACCCACCCAUGUCUGUACGGUGUGCCACAGAACUCUGUUUCCUAAUCAAGUUCAACACUGCAAAAGAUCAAAGUAUGUUACAAAUAGUCACGUUGUUGACACUUGCUUGACAGGAAAAUUUGUCCAUGUUUGUGAUAGUGAAUGUACAGCUAAUUGUACCUUUCCAAAACAAAGAAUGCAAGAGUGGAUUUGCUACAACUGUGACAGCCACCUACAACGAGGAAAGAUCUCUUCCAUCGCAGUGGCAAACAAUUUAGCACUAGCACCCAUUCCAAUUGAACUGAGUCAAUUAAAUGUACUAGAACGACAACUGAUUGCUAAAAUUCUCCCGUUUGCCAAAAUCAUUGCAUUACCAAAAGGACAGCAAAGAGCUGUACAUGGGGCUGUUGUUUGUGUACCGUCGGAUGUGGAAACCACAGUAAACUCUCUUCCCAGACCUUGCAAUGAAGCCCAGCUCCUGCAGGUACAACUGAAAAGACACAUCAGAUUCAAAGGAUACCAACACUUCUACACUGUGAACAUGAAGAAUGUGUUAGCGGGCUUAUCAAAGCUAAAAGAGAUGCAUUCAGAAUACAAAGAUGUAUCUAUUGAUGAUGACGCUACUUUUGCUGAUCCCACAAAUCAGAUAAUCGAGACGGAACAUGACACUGCUGAUGCAGAUAUUCAAGAUUCACUGCCCAGAAACUUCGACAACCAAAUUCUACCAGAAAGAAGAACCACUGAGGAUACAACAGCUGGAAUACUUGAGCCAUGUCAUGAUGUAAACGAACUAUUGGAGCCUGAACACUCAAAUGGAGAGCCCUUACAAGAUACGGAGAAAGAAAAGGAAGAACUUCGCCCCGGUCUUGUUCUAGACACCUGUAUGCAACCACCAGAUAUAGCACAGGACAUUUUAUCAUAUGGUGAAGGAAUAUUUAGCAUUGCACCCGCCCAAAGAAAUAGACCUGUUGGCUUCUUCUCUGUUCCUAAACUUGAAGCCAUGGCCUUUCCUGUGCAGUUCCCAACUGGACAGAACACAUUAGAUGAAGCCAGACAAGUCAAACUGUCCCCAAGCAUGUAUUUUAAUACACGGCUGUUCUCUGCAGAUACACGCUUUGCAACUGACCAAAGCUACCUAUUCUUUGCACAGUUUGUAACAGAAACACACAUGGCUACAAACAGCAUGUCCAUCCAAUUGCGCAAAGGUAAGGCAAUCACAAAGGAUGGACGUAGAAUUUGUAACAGAAUUCUUCAAAAUAAAGACGAAGUGGAGAGACUGAUAAAUAACAAAGAUGCAACACGCUUCAUGAAACCUCUGAGAGGUACUCCAGCCUAUUGGGAAAAGGCACUGAAAGAUCUGCAUGCUAUGGUCAGACAGUUAGGAAAGCCAACUUUUUUCCUGACAUUUUCAGCUGCUGAAAUGAGAUGGCCUGAGGUUGUUGAGGUCAUAAAAACUCAACAAGGUGAACAAGUGGAUUUUUCACAACUUGACUGGAACACAAAGUGUGAAAUUCUCCGAAGCAACCCUGUGACUGUGAUGCGAUUGUUUGAGAAAAGAGUCGAUGCACUAAUGACAACACUGAUCCUGUCCCCAGCACAGCCCAUCGGUGAAGUAGAAGAUUACUUUUAUCGAGUGGAGUUUCAGGCCAGAGGUAGCCCUCAUAUCCAUUUACUGGUUUGGGUCAAAGAUGCACCUAAAUUUGGAAGCGACCUUGAAGACCACGUGUACAAAUUUAUUGACAAGUACAUAACAUGUAAGAUGCCUGACCAAAAUGCCGAUCCUGAACUCAACAAAAUUGUGUCUGAGGUUCAAGUCCACAGCAGAAAUCACUCCAGAUCC